AGAGUCUGUGGGAGGCAGGAUUGGUAGAGUUAGCCUCCAAUUUUGAUACAGCUCUGAUAAGAUAUUGGCCAACCCAAGGGAAAAGGUGGCAUUUUUGCAGAGCCCCACUUUGGAUAAACAUGGCCAAUCCCUAAUGCUCUUGCUGUGCUCUGUCCCUGAUUAGGGGCUUCUGACAAAUCAUAGUGUCAGCUUGAAAUCUGCAGUAGACCCCAAACACUCUGCAGCUGAAGCCUGGUUGCAAAUGACACUGCUUGCAACUAAAAGGCAAGUCUUUUCUUAAAUGAAAAUCUGAGCAGCACACUUCCUUGGCUGCCACAGAUACCACUUGUGGCCAUACGGAUGCCCCGGCACAGAGAGACUAGGCAGCUAGGCUGAAUUCACAGAGAAAGUAGGUGGAUUUAAGUUCUGGCAGCCUGAUUAUGGAUGCAGUCCUCUACUGUGCAUGUAGGACAAUGUCAAAUAGUGAAUUAAACUUUAUUUGACAUUGUACCUAGAACUCAGUUAAAGAAGCACUACAAUUGGUUUGGGUAGCUGUGUACCAAUUUGAUAGCUCCCCCUUUUAUCUGGCUCUCAAACUUUCUUGGAAUGUCUGCCUCUUCUCCUUACCUGAUUCACCACAGCCAGCCACACAAACACUACAUAGUUGAUUCCUGAGCCAAACUCAAAGUAUUUGCAGAUAACUCAAAAAUGUUGCCUCAUCAAUGAAGCUCUCUCUGGUUCUCUAAGGAACGGUAUUCUUGUACUACUCUAAAGCUGCAUAGCAUUUUAUCCUAAUUAUCAUUAUUACUUUCUACCUUCCAUGAUAAAUACGUGCCCCAUUUCCCUAUUCUUCAACAUCAGCCCCUCCUCCUGCAUUGGCGGACCGAGGGACUCAAGCCCUAUUCCUGACCCAUUGCAGGCUCCUUCUGCUACUCUGCAGCCACAGGUCUUUAUCAAUCUUCCCUCCUUUCUCACUCCUUAGGGCCUUUUUCACAAGUUGUUCUUUCUCUUGGAAUGACUGCUUCUUCUCCAAGUUUCAGCAUGAGAUCUCUUCAUUGAAAACCUUUCCUCUUCUACCUCCUACUAAUUUCAUCUAGAUGUCUCUCCUCUGUGCUCCUACUCACACUAUACUGAUGGCAUUUAAAGAUUUUUGAUGAUGACCUGAAGUCAGAAAUGCCUUUUACAGCAUGACCUGGUACACAAACCUGCAUAUACAGAGCCUCCUAUGCAAUCAGAACACAGUUGUUUUAUCAAACUCUUAUAUCUUUACUGCAGUAUAACGCACCCUGAUAUAUUCUGGCCUAUUUUAUUCCUUUAGAAAGUGCUGUCUGCAGCCCAGUAAAUUGAUUUAAUGACCUGCCAGUGGGUCUCAACAUACAGCAUGAAAAACACCACCCUUCAUGAGCCUUUGUUAAUAUACUGGGCUCGCAAUGCUGACAUCAUUAGUAUAGUUGUCUAUUUCUCCACGCAGGCAGUAAAUGCUGAGGGUAGAAAUCGUAUCUUAUUCUUGUUUUUUCUUCUAGUUCAGCACAGGAAAUGUCUAAGAAAUGAAUAAAUGAAUGCAUGCAAGCUCUGAGGUCUUGACAAUAACCUACUUCGAGUUUGAAAAUGCAGCACCGGAAUGUUUGCGUUCGACUUACCAGAAGCUUCUCCCUUGCCUCUUGGCUGUGAACCUCCACAGCGCCCUCCCACAGUAUGUCAAUGGUGUUGUUGGAUCAGCAUUCCCCCUAUUCUGGAAUGUUUUUCUCUUUCUGUUCAUUUGUGUUGUUUGCAUUGGAGGUACCCCGAUCUUAACAGAGCUAUUUCUCUGACUUUAGGUGAUGACCCAGGGAUGGGCACCCAACAUAAGGUGAGCCAAUUUCUAAACCUGUGACCAGAAUGCAUGCGAGUCAGUUUCUCUCCAGGCAUGGGAAGACAAGUUUUCUGCCACAUGGAGGAAGCCAGACCAUAGAGUAUGAUGUAGAGACCACAGAACGAAGGAAAGGUAGAGAUAGAGUAGGUAUCCUGGCACCAUUUCUAAACCCCUGGUUCCAGUUUUUUAAUAGCCAGCAGACCCCUACAUAUUUCCUGUUGGGUGAUUCAGCUGUCAAGUGACACAAGAUGCUUCCAGUAAGUUCUUUAUUCAGUGGAGUUAUGGGUCUUAACAAUACCACUGGCUUUUGUCAGUUUGAUGUAGAUUUCUGUCACUGGAGAAAACUAAGUCCAAAAUCACACAAUCCAAAUGUGCCAGAGAAGCGUGUGGCUGGGUAGACAGUGACUUGUGGUUAUGACUAAGUCUCUAUUCUAGACACCAUCAUUUCCUCAACUCUAUCAGGAAAGAGGCCUAGAAUGUUUGCUUGGGAAUGCAAAUAUUCGUUAAACCAAGAGACAGGUCAUGGUUGUACCAGAAAAGGCAGAAGGG
Molecule: long non-coding RNA, 2380 nt
Filed under: Homo sapiens (human)
Lineage: Eukaryota; Metazoa; Chordata; Mammalia; Primates; Hominidae
Description: non-protein coding lnc-DRD5-30:1
Source: RNAcentral